GCAAGUCGAACGAGAAAUUGCCUUCGGGUAAUGGACAGUGGCAGACGGGUGAGUAACGCGUGGCAACCUACCUUUUUCUACGGGACAACAGUUGGAAACGACUGCUAAUACCGUAUACGUCCUGCGGGAGAAAGAUUUAUCGGUGAAAGAUGGGGCCGCGUUAGAUUAGCUUGUUGGUGAGGUAAUGGCUCACCAAGGCGACGAUCAGUAGCUGGUCUGAGAGGAUGGAC
RNAcentral lists this ribosomal RNA (230 nucleotides) under uncultured bacterium. RNAcentral describes it as "partial 16S ribosomal RNA". It matches the Rfam family "Bacterial small subunit ribosomal RNA", at positions 57 to 305 of the family's 1533-position model. The record is from RNAcentral.